Amblyraja radiata (thorny skate) is the source of this 127-nucleotide long non-coding RNA. RefSeq lists it as uncharacterized. The transcript is spliced from 3 exons. Lineage: Eukaryota; Metazoa; Chordata; Chondrichthyes; Rajiformes; Rajidae. The record is from RefSeq and is a predicted model, not a curated record.
AAAUGCAAAUGGUGAUUUGGUUUGAAAAUACAAAUGGUGUUUGCUUUGAAAAUGCAAAGGGUGGUUUGCUUUGAAAAUGCAAAAGGUGGUUUGCUUUGAAAAUGCAAAAGAUCUGCUUUGAAAAUGC